RNAcentral lists this ribosomal RNA (405 nucleotides) under uncultured bacterium. Its description in RNAcentral is "bacterial SSU rRNA". It matches the Rfam family "Bacterial small subunit ribosomal RNA", at positions 355 to 774 of the family's 1533-position model. The record is from RNAcentral.
UGAGGAAUCUUCGGCAAUGGGCGAAAGCCUGACCGAGCUAUGCCGCGUGCCGGACGAAGGCCUUAAAGGUUGUAAACGGCUGUGGUAAACCACUAAAUUCUGAAGGGUUUACUAGAAAGAGGUUGCUAACUCUGUGCCAGCAGCAGCGGUAAUACAGAGACCUCAAGCACUAUCCGGUUUUACUGGGCGUAAAGCGUGCCGAAGACGGUUUGGUAUGUCUAAAGUGAAAGACCAGAGCUCAACUCUGAGUUGGCUUUAGAAACUACCAAACUAGAGGAGUAAAGAGGUAGCCGGAACUCUGCAAGUAGGGGUGAAAUCCGUUGAUAUGCAGGGGAACGCCGAAUGAGAAGUCAAGCUACUAUUUACCUCCUGACGUUGCUAGGACGAAAGUGUGGGGAGCGAACG